GACGAACGCUGGCGGCGUGCCUAAUACAUGCAAGUUGAGCGCUGAAGGUUGGUACUUGUACCAACUGGAUGAGCAGCGAACGGGUGAGUAACGCGUGGGGAAUCUGCCUUUGAGCGGGGGACAACAUUUGGAAACGAAUGCUAAUACCGCAUAAAAACUUUAAACACAAGUUUUAAGUUUGAAAGAUGCAAUUGCAUCACUCAAAGAUGAUCCCGCGUUGUAUUAGCUAGUUGGUGAGGUAAAGGCUCACCAAGGCGAUGAUACAUAGCCGACCUGAGAGGGUGAUCGGCCACAUUGGGACUGAGAAACGGCCCAAACUCCUACGGGAGGCAGCAGUAGGGAAUCUUCGGCAAUGGACGAAAGUCUGACCGAGCAACGCCGCGUGAGUGAAGAAGGGUUUCGGAUCGUAAAACUCUGUUGGUAGAGAAGAACGUUGGUGAGAGUGGAAAGCUCAUCAAGUGACGGUAACUACCCAGAAAGGGACGGCUAACUACGUG
This 497-nucleotide ribosomal RNA is filed under the name uncultured bacterium. RNAcentral's name for it is "partial 16S ribosomal RNA". It matches the Rfam family "Bacterial small subunit ribosomal RNA", at positions 28 to 507 of the family's 1533-position model. The record is from RNAcentral.